AACGAACGCUGGCGGCAUGCCUAACACAUGCAAGUCGAACGAUGGUCUUCGGGUCAUAGUGGCGCACGGGUGCGUAACGCGUGGGAAUCUGCCCUUGGGUUCGGAAUAACAGUUGGAAACGACUGCUAAUACCGGAUGAUGUCGAUAAGACUAACCAUUUAUCGCCAGAGGAUGAGCCCGCGUCGGAUUAGCUAGUUGGUGGGGUAAAGGCCUACCAAGGCGACGAUCCGUGGCUGGUCUGAGAGGAUGCUCAGCCACGCUGGGACUGAGACACGGCCCAGACUCCGAGGGGAGGCAGGAGUGGGGAAUAUUGGAGACUGGGCGCAAGCGUGAUGCAGCCAUGUCGCGUGAGUGAUGAAGGCCUUAGGGUUGUACAGCUCUCUUACACGGGAAGAUAAUGACUGUACCGGGAGAAUAAGCCCCGGCUAACUCCGUG
RNAcentral lists this ribosomal RNA (436 nucleotides) under uncultured bacterium. Its description in RNAcentral is "partial 16S ribosomal RNA". It matches the Rfam family "Bacterial small subunit ribosomal RNA", at positions 29 to 507 of the family's 1533-position model. The record is from RNAcentral.